This 490-nucleotide long non-coding RNA is filed under the name Gallus gallus (chicken). The record is from RNAcentral. Lineage: Eukaryota; Metazoa; Chordata; Aves; Galliformes; Phasianidae.
AAAAAGUAGACUUCAGCAAACUUGGGGAACUGUGCUAGAAGAGUUUGAAUAUGCCAUGUCCACUUUGAAGACAACAAAGAACUUUUCAUCCAAGAGAAGGUUCGGAACAUCUAGCCAUGAGACAAGGAAUCUUCUGGCUGGAGCUUUUUGUAAUCCAUGGGAUUAUUUUUUAUAUAAAAGGUCUCAACACCCUGCAAAUAGUGAUGCCAAGUAGGAUGACAGCAUACAGAAGAAAAACAGGCAACUCUGCCAGUGAUGUACUGGCACUAGAUGUGCUGGAGGAAUCCUGCUACACAACUGGUCAUCUAAUAAAGAAAGAUAGUUUCCUGCCAAACAAGAGUUUUGCUUCAUUUAGACAUCUUAGUUUGUUAUGCAAUAACACCAACUAAAUUAUUAAAAUCUCUCUAAUGUAAUAGCCACUUCUUGGUGUUGUAAGCCAGUGGUUCCAGUAGAAUUUAUCCACUUACCAACUAGCACAGCUAAACACGCU